UGUUGUUGCCAUGGUAAUCCUGCUCGGUACAGAGGAACCACAGGUUCAGACAUCUGGUGUAUGUGCUUGGGGUGAAGCUACCAUCUGUGGGAUCAUGAAUGAACGCCUCUAAGUCAGAUUCCCGCCCAGGCAGAGUGACACAGCAGCACCAAAGGAGCCUUGGUUGGCCUCAGAUAGCCAGCCCCCAUCGUCCCUGUCAGCGGCUAGUUAUCAGGAAUGGGGUCCGGUGUGGACAGCCUUCGUCCUGGGAAAGGGGGCCACUCUCCUGCCCAUCACGCGACGUAUUUUCGUGGGGAACCUGGUGCUAAACCAUUUGAGGACGACCUGCUUCUGCGCUGGCGUUUCAUCUGUAGCAGAACAGCUCCCUUGCUGCAAUCUAGUGAAAGUCAGCCCUCGACACAGGGUUU
Molecule: non-coding RNA, 407 nt
Filed under: Oryctolagus cuniculus (rabbit)
Lineage: Eukaryota; Metazoa; Chordata; Mammalia; Lagomorpha; Leporidae
Description: Eukaryotic large subunit ribosomal RNA
Rfam family: Eukaryotic large subunit ribosomal RNA
Source: Rfam by way of RNAcentral